UGGAAGCCCAAUUCGGAUGUGAUCUGAGUUGGAUUAGGUUUAGAAGUACCAAUGGGCCUCAGACCCAGAGGCCCGUCAGGAACCUCUAUAAAUAGAGGGGUGGAGGCGCCCUAGGGUUUACACCUUUUCGGUGAAACACAUCUACCGCGCCUCCCAUGCCCUCGCCUGUUGCAACUCACAGACCUAGCAGUUCGGCUUGCGAUGCUUCCUCCCUGCAUGUGUGGAGACCUUGGAGGUGUU
RNAcentral lists this long non-coding RNA (240 nucleotides) under Setaria italica (foxtail millet). RNAcentral describes it as "long non-coding RNA (SITA_LNC007525)". The record is from RNAcentral. Lineage: Eukaryota; Viridiplantae; Streptophyta; Magnoliopsida; Poales; Poaceae.